This 118-nucleotide ribosomal RNA is filed under the name Pteropus alecto (black flying fox). Lineage: Eukaryota; Metazoa; Chordata; Mammalia; Chiroptera; Pteropodidae. The record is from RNAcentral.
GUCUACAGCCAUACCAUCCUGAACGUGCCGGAUCUAGUGUGAUCUCCCAAGCUAAGCAGGGUCGGGCCUGGUUAGUACUUGGAUGGGAGACCGCCUGGGAUACCAGGUGCUGUAGUUU